AAACCGUCCCCUAAGUUUUGCAACUGUAGCAGUUUUGGUCCCCAAGGCCAAUUUUUGGUAAAAAAAAAAAAAGUAACACGUGGCACGUCAGCGUAGAAUGAGUCAAAAUUGGCCUUGGGGGCCAAAACUGCCACAUAUGAAAAACUUAGGGGGCGGUUU
Molecule: microRNA precursor, 159 nt
Filed under: Medicago truncatula (barrel medic)
Lineage: Eukaryota; Viridiplantae; Streptophyta; Magnoliopsida; Fabales; Fabaceae
Description: MIR2619 microRNA precursor family
Rfam family: MIR2619 microRNA precursor family
Source: Rfam by way of RNAcentral